CCUACGGGAGGCAGCAGUGGGGAAUAUUGGACAAUGGGGGCAACCCUGAUCCAGCCAUGCCGCGUGUGUGAAGAAGGCCCUCGGGUUGUAAAGCACUUUCAGUGAGGAAGAACGCCUGGUGGUUAAUACCCAUCAGGAAAGACAUCACUCACAGAAGAAGCACCGGCUAACUCCGUGCCAGCAGCCGCGGUAAUACGGAGGGUGCGAGCGUUAAUCGGAAUUACUGGGCGUAAAGCGCGCGUAGGUGGCUUGAUAAGCCGGUUGUGAAAGCCCCGGGCUCAACCUGGGAACGGCAUCCGGAACUGUCAAGCUAGAGUGCAGGAGAGGAAGGUAGAAUUCCCGGUGUAGCGGUGAAAUGCGUAGAGAUCGGGAGGAAUACCAGUGGCGAAGGCGGCCUUCUGGACUGACACUGACACUGAGGUGCGAAAGCGUGGGUAGCAAACAGGAUUAGAUACCCUGGUAGUC
RNAcentral lists this ribosomal RNA (465 nucleotides) under Vreelandella stevensii. Its description in RNAcentral is "partial 16S ribosomal RNA". It matches the Rfam family "Bacterial small subunit ribosomal RNA", at positions 338 to 795 of the family's 1533-position model. Lineage: Bacteria; Pseudomonadati; Pseudomonadota; Gammaproteobacteria; Oceanospirillales; Halomonadaceae. The record is from RNAcentral.